Molecule: long non-coding RNA, 1201 nt
Organism: Acanthochromis polyacanthus (spiny chromis)
Lineage: Eukaryota; Metazoa; Chordata; Actinopteri; Pomacentridae
Exons: 3
Source: RefSeq, a predicted model, not a curated record
UUUUUUUUUAAAUUUUCUCACAUUAUUUCUGUCUCUCUGAGCAAAGUGUUAAGAUUUCCUGCAGCCUGCUGUUGCUUACUCGGACCUUCUAAUUGAGUGCGACACCUGAGUGGAGCGCAGACUCACAGGUAAUCAGCCAUCUCCACGGGUCCCGGACAGCUGAGAGACAUCACCAUGAUUACACACCGACAAUAAGAAACCGCUCAUCCUUCCACACCCUGCCAGAUUGUUGAAUACGACUACCUAACACCGCUGUCCUGGACCUUCCCCGCUGUGUUCCCUCGUCUGCCCCCCUGGAAAUCAUUCGGCACCGUGCAUUCCCCUCCUGGACCCCCAUUUGGCUCGGACUCCCUGAAAGCUGUACUUACUUUCAUUCCUCCAUUUAAAAACUACCUAAUUCAGGGUUAUACUGUUGCAAGUUAGCUGCUGUAGCGGAAAGGCUUUGUGGUAAUUAAAUCCCUCUUGGCCAAACAACGAAACAUUUUACCAGUAUUGCAUUUGCUGUAGACUCGGAGAGCUGUAAAAUUCUCCAGCUCUCUCAGAUCCUGCUGGAGACGAACUUAUUUUCCAAAGUUCAAAGACUUGAUCGACUGCUUCAGAUCAAUUUACAUCACUUUAAAACUUGUGCGCCCAUUAGGACCAUUUUCCUCAGCUCUGUUGAGAUAAAUGUAGGCCCGACUGUGAAUGUGCUGUGAAUAGAUGUAAGUGGAAUGAUCACUUGCGAUUUGGGGGAGAACUUUCCCAGAUGAGAACAAGUAAGACUCAUGUCUCUACAAUUUCUCGAGGCUAAAUUACAAUCUCGUCUUCUGAGGCUGCUCUCAGUGGAUAAAUUAUAUUGAAUCUUUGAUCGAUUUCUCACUGUGUUUUUCUUGAGUCUAAAAGAACUUGAUCAUUAAUUCUAAAGGGCUGGCACCAACAUGCGAGACACUGGAUUCCCAAUGCUAAGAGGCUGUGAAAUAAAUUGAAUUUUUAGAGGAAUAAUGUUUGAGGGGGUAAAAACUCGAUCCUAUUUAGGUUAAAUCAAAAUAAUAUUCGCAAAGCACCUCAGAGUUUUAGAAUGUAGAGAGUAGGAUGCUGUAGCGUAAGAACACUUAGAGAUUGAAAAUGAAAUUUAUCACAUCUAAUAAUUUAGCGGAGUUAAAAAAGAUUUCUGCAAUGUCAAUAAAAAAUAUGAAACAUGAAUAAAUUGAUUGCCCAAGUA